GUGGAUGUGGCUCAAUGGGUGAGAGCACUUGUGUUGCAAGCAUGAGCACCUGAGUUCAAAUCCCCUGCACNCAUA
This 75-nucleotide transfer RNA is filed under the name Neotoma lepida (desert woodrat). It matches the Rfam family "tRNA". Rfam says of the family: Transfer RNA (tRNA) molecules are approximately 80 nucleotides in length. Their secondary structure includes four short double-helical elements and three loops (D, anti-codon, and T loops). Lineage: Eukaryota; Metazoa; Chordata; Mammalia; Rodentia; Cricetidae. The record is from Rfam by way of RNAcentral.